GAUGAACGCUGGCGGCGUGCCUAAUACAUGCAAGUCGAGCGAACAGACGAGGAGCUUGCUCCUCUGACGUUAGCGGCGGACGGGUGAGUAACACGUGGAUAACCUACCUAUAAGACUGGGAUAACUUCGGGAAACCGGAGCUAAUACCGGAUAAUAUAUUGAACCGCAUGGUUCAAUAGUGAAAGACGGUUUUGCUGUCACUUAUAGAUGGAUCCGCGCCGCAUUAGCUAGUUGGUAAGGUAACGGCUUACCAAGGCGACGAUGCGUAGCCGACCUGAGAGGGUGAUCGGCCACACUGGAACUGAGACACGGUCCAGACUCCUACGGGAGGCAGCAGUAGGGAAUCUUCCGCAAUGGGCGAAAGCCUGGCGGAGCAACGCCGCGUGAGUGAUGAAGGUCUUCGGAUCGUAAAACUCUGUUAUUAGGGAAGAACAAAUGUGUAAGUAACUAUGCACGUCUUGACGGUACCUAAUCAGAAAGCCAUGGCUAACUACGUG
RNAcentral lists this ribosomal RNA (497 nucleotides) under uncultured bacterium. Its description in RNAcentral is "partial 16S ribosomal RNA". It matches the Rfam family "Bacterial small subunit ribosomal RNA", at positions 28 to 507 of the family's 1533-position model. The record is from RNAcentral.